RNAcentral lists this long non-coding RNA (358 nucleotides) under Homo sapiens (human). RNAcentral's name for it is "HSALNT0196209". The record is from RNAcentral. Lineage: Eukaryota; Metazoa; Chordata; Mammalia; Primates; Hominidae.
GAGGAGACUACAAAUGCUUUGACAUGAAGAUUUUAAAUGUGAGGCUGGCGUGGUGGCCACGACUGUAAUCCCAGCACUUUGGGAGGCCGAGUGAUGAUCAGGAGAAACAGUCCAAGAAGAAACCUCGCCUCUUCUGUGACAUUUGUGACUGCUUUGAUCUCCACGACACAGAGGAUUGUCCUACCCAGGCACAGAUGUCAGAGGACCCUCCCCAUUCCACACACCAUGGCAGUCGGGGUGAGGAACGCCCAUACUGUGAAAUCUGUGAGAUGUUUGGACACUGGGCCACCAACUGCAAUGACGACGAAACCUUCUGAUGAAGCCUCCAGUGGAGAACUGGGCUUGCUCAGACGCACUC